GACGAACGCUGGCGGCGUGCUUAACACAUGCAAGUCGAACGGAAAGGCCCCCACCUUGGUGGGGGUGCUCGAGUGGCGAACGGGUGAGUAACACGUGGGUGAUCUGCCCUGUACUUCGGGAUAAGCUUGGGAAACUGGGUCUAAUACCGGAUAGGACCAUGGUUUAGUGUCUCAUGGUGGAAAAAUUAUUGUUUUGGUGCAGGAUGAGCUCGCGGCCUGUCAGCUUGUUGGUGGGGUAAUGGCCUACCAAGGCGUCGACGGGUAGCCGGCCUGAGAGGGUGGACGGCCACAUUGGGACUGAGAUACGGCCCAGACUCCUACGGGAGGCAGCAGUGGGGAAUAUUGCACAAUGGGCGCAAGCCUGAUGCAGCGACGCCGCGUGGGGGAUGACGGCCUUCGGGUUGUAAACUCCUUUCGUUAGGGACGAAGCCACACCUUUUUUGGGUGUGGUGACGGUACCUUUGUUAAGAAGCACCGGCUAACUACGUG
Molecule: ribosomal RNA, 489 nt
Filed under: uncultured bacterium
Lineage: Bacteria
Description: partial 16S ribosomal RNA
Rfam family: Bacterial small subunit ribosomal RNA
Source: RNAcentral